RNAcentral lists this ribosomal RNA (407 nucleotides) under uncultured bacterium. Its description in RNAcentral is "partial 16S ribosomal RNA". It matches the Rfam family "Bacterial small subunit ribosomal RNA", at positions 28 to 526 of the family's 1533-position model. The record is from RNAcentral.
GACGAACGCUGGCGGCGUGCCUAAUACAUGCAAGUAGGACGCAGUUGCGAACGGGUGAGUAACGCGUAGGUAACUACCUAUUAGAGGGGGAUAACUAUUGGAAACGAUAGCUAAUACCGCAUACUAGUAGAUGGACCUGCGUUGUAUUAGCUAGUAGGUAGGGUAAUGGCCUACCUAGGCAACGAUACAUAGCCGACCCGGGAGGGUGAUCCGCCCCACAUGGACUUGGGCCCGGCCCAAGCUCCUUCGGGGAGCAACAGGUGGGGAACCUUGGCAAUGGGGGGAACCCUGACCGAGCAACACCGCGUGAGUGAAGAAGGUUUUCGGAUCGUAAAGCUCUGUUGUUAAGGAAGCGGUACUUAACCAGAAAGGGACGGCUAACUACGUGCCAGCAGCCGCGGUAAUAC